This 74-nucleotide transfer RNA is filed under the name Candidatus Woesebacteria bacterium. RNAcentral's name for it is "tRNA-Met". It matches the Rfam family "tRNA". From Rfam's summary of the family: Transfer RNA (tRNA) molecules are approximately 80 nucleotides in length. Their secondary structure includes four short double-helical elements and three loops (D, anti-codon, and T loops). The record is from RNAcentral. Lineage: Bacteria; Candidatus Woeseibacteriota.
GGCAGGGUAGCUCAUCUGGUUAGAGCGAGCGGCUCAUAAUCGCUAGGUAGCGGGUUCGACCCCCGCCCCUGCUA